RNAcentral lists this ribosomal RNA (1205 nucleotides) under metagenome. RNAcentral's name for it is "SSU rRNA". It matches the Rfam family "Eukaryotic small subunit ribosomal RNA", at positions 1 to 1240 of the family's 1831-position model. The record is from RNAcentral.
UCUGGUUGAUCCUGCCAGUAGUCAUAUGCUUGUCUCAAAGAUUAAGCCAUGCAUGUCUAAGUAUAAAUAGUAUACAGUGAAACUGCGAAUGGCUCAUUAAAACAGUUAUAGUUUAUUUGAUAAUUGACAAUUACAUGGAUAACCGUGGUAAUUCUAGAGCUAAUACAUGCUUAAACGCCCGACUUUAUGGAAGGGUGGUAUUUAUUAGACUGAAGCCAAUAUUCCUUGUGUCUAUUGCGGUGAUUCAUAAUAACUGAUCGAAUCUCUUUUUGAGAUAAAUCAUUCAAGUUUCUGCCCUAUCAGCUUUCGAUGGUAGUGUAUUGGACUACCAUGGCAGUAACGGGUAACGAAGAAUUAGGGUUCGAUUUCGGAGAGGGAGCAUGAGAAACGGCUACCACAUCUAAGGAAGGCAGCAGGCGCGUAAAUUACCCAAUCCUGACUCAGGGAGGUAGUGACAAGAAAUAGCAAACCGGGAACCUCAUGGUUUCACGGUAUUGCAAUGAGAACAAUUUAAAACCCUUAGCGAGAAUCAAGUGGAGGACAAGUCUGGUGCCAGCACCCGCGGUAAUUCCAGCUCCACUAGCGUAUAUUAAAGUUGUUGCAGUUAAAAAGCUCGUAGUUGAACCUCUGUCUGGGGCUAGUUUUGGCUUUGGUCAGGCUAGUUCUAGGCAUCCGCCUACAAGACUUAGAGGGCAUUCAGUUGUUCACUAGGAGGAGUAGGCAUUUUACUUUGAAAAAAUUAGAGUGUUUAAGGCAGGCAAUCGCCCGCAUAUAUUAGCAUGGAAUAAUAGAAUAGGACACUUUUCCAUUUCGUUGGUUAUUGGAAUCGUGUAAUGAUUAAUAGGGACAGUUGUGGGCAUUUGUAUUUAAUUGUCAGAGGUGAAAUUCUUGGAUUUAUUAAAGACAAACUAACGCGAAAGCAUUUGCCAAGGAUGUUUUCAUUAAUCAAGAACGAAAGUUAGGGGAUCAAAGACGAUCAGAUACCGUCCUAGUCUUAACUAUAAACUAUUCCGACUCAAUGUUUGACUGGCUUAUAUAACCAGUUGAGCGUUGUAUGAGAAAUCAAAGUCCUUAGGUUCUGGGGGGAGUAUGGUUGCAAAGCUGAAACUUAAAGGAGUUGACGGAAGAGCACAACCAGGAGUGGAUUCUGCGGCUUAAUUUGACUCAACACGGGGAAACUUACCAGGUUAAAACAAUAGUGGGAU